GACAACUACAGCUCAGUCGCAGGCAAAACAUCGAACGUGUAGGUUGUAGCGCGGCAGCCUUCGUCGCUACGCGUACAAUACAAAAACAUUCGUUUUUUUGACGCGAGUUGCGACCAAUAAACUACAACAAUACAUGAAAAGCUAACACAUAAAAGGGAAAGUGAAGUUCGCUACAAAUAGUGAGGAUAAACAAAAACCUACACUUAACUACAACAGCAAGGCCGGCACACCUGUCAGCUAUAAGAUCUCGCUACACAGUUGAGGAACUUAAAGAAAAAAA
Drosophila arizonae is the source of this 280-nucleotide long non-coding RNA. NCBI's taxonomy places the organism in Eukaryota, Metazoa, Arthropoda, Insecta, Diptera, Drosophilidae. The record is from RefSeq and is a predicted model, not a curated record.